GCCGGGCAUGGUGGCGCAUGCCUGUAAUCCCAGCUACUGGGGAGGCUGAAGCAGGAGAAUUGCUUGAGCCCGGGAGAUGGAGGUUGCAGUGAGCUGAGAUUGUGCCACUGCACUCCAGUCUGGGUGACAAAGCAAGACUCUGUCUCAA
RNAcentral lists this non-coding RNA (148 nucleotides) under Nomascus leucogenys (northern white-cheeked gibbon). The record is from Rfam by way of RNAcentral. Lineage: Eukaryota; Metazoa; Chordata; Mammalia; Primates; Hylobatidae.